GCGGUGGAGCAUGUGGUUUAAUUCGAAGCAACGCGAAGAACCUUACCAGGUCUUGACAUCCCGAUGCUAUUUCUAGAGAUAGAAAGUUACUUCGGUACAUCGGUGACAGGUGGUGCAUGGUUGUCGUCAGCUCGUGUCGUGAGAUGUUGGGUUAAGUCCCGCAACGAGCGCAACCCCUAUUGUUAGUUGCCAUCAUUCAGUUGGGCACUCUAGCGAGACUGCCGGUAAUAAACCGGAGGAAGUGGGAUGACGUCAAAUCAUCAUGCCCCUUAUGACCUGGGCUACACACGUGCUACAAUGGUUGGUACAACGAGUUGCGAGUCGGUGACGGCGAGCUAAUCUCUUAAAGCCAAUCUCAGUUCGGAUUGUAGGCUGCAACUCGCCUACAUGAAGUCGGAAUCGCUAGUAAUCGCGGAUCAGCACGCCGCGGUGAAUACGUUCCCGGGCCUU
This 450-nucleotide ribosomal RNA is filed under the name uncultured Streptococcus sp. Its description in RNAcentral is "bacterial SSU rRNA". It matches the Rfam family "Bacterial small subunit ribosomal RNA", at positions 929 to 1382 of the family's 1533-position model. The record is from RNAcentral. Lineage: Bacteria; Bacillati; Bacillota; Bacilli; Lactobacillales; Streptococcaceae.